Molecule: ribosomal RNA, 441 nt
Filed under: uncultured bacterium
Lineage: Bacteria
Description: partial 16S ribosomal RNA
Rfam family: Bacterial small subunit ribosomal RNA
Source: RNAcentral
CCUACGGGGGGCAGCAGUGGGGAAUAUUGCACAAUGGGGGAAACCCUGAUGCAGCAACGCCGCGUGAAGGAAGACGGUUUUCGGAUUGUAAACUUCUGUUCUUAGUGAAGAAGAAUGACGGUAGCUAAGGAGCAAGCCACGGCUAACUACGUGCCAGCAGCCGCGGUAAUACGUAGGGGGCAAGCGUUAUCCGGAAUUACUGGGUGUAAAGGGAGCGUAGACGGCAAUGCAAGUCCGGAGUGGAAUGCGGCAGCUCAACUGCCGAACUGCUCUGGAAACUGUAUGGCUUGAGUGCAGGAGGGGUAAGCGGAAUUCCUGGUGUAGCGGGGAAAUGCGUAGAUAUCAGGAGGAACACCGGUGGCGAAGGCGGCUUACUGGACUGUAACUGACGUUGAGGCUCGAAAGCGUGGGGAGCAAACAGGAUUAGAUACCCCGGUAGUC